AGUGAACGCUGGCGGUAGGCCUAACACAUGCAAGUCGAACGGCAGCACAGUAAGAGCUUGCUCUUACGGGUGGCGAGUGGCGGACGGGUGAGGAAUACAUCGGAAUCUACUUUUUCGUGGGGGAUAACGUAGGGAAACUUACGCUAAUACCGCAUACGACCUACGGGUGAAAGCAGGGGAUCUUCGGACCUUGCGCGAUUGAAUGAGCCGAUGUCGGAUUAGCUAGUUGGCGGGGUAAAGGCCCACCAAGGCGACGAUCCGUAGCUGGUCUGAGAGGAUGAUCAGCCCCCCUGGAACUGAGACACGGUCCAGACUCCUACGGGAGGCAGCAGUGGGGAAUAUUGGACAAUGGGCGCAAGCCUGAUCCAGCCAUACCGCGUGGGUGAAGAAGGCCUUCGGGUUGUAAAGCCCUUUUGUUGGGAAAGAAAAGCAGCAGGUUAAUACCCCGCUGUUCUGACGGUACCCAAAGAAUAAGCACCGGCUAACUUCGUG
This 492-nucleotide ribosomal RNA is filed under the name uncultured bacterium. RNAcentral's name for it is "partial 16S ribosomal RNA". It matches the Rfam family "Bacterial small subunit ribosomal RNA", at positions 29 to 507 of the family's 1533-position model. The record is from RNAcentral.